This 329-nucleotide unclassified non-coding RNA is filed under the name soil metagenome. RNAcentral describes it as "partial contains 5.8S ribosomal RNA, internal transcribed spacer 2, and large subunit ribosomal RNA". The stretch from base 1 to 120 matches the Rfam family "5.8S ribosomal RNA", at positions 35 to 154 of the family's 154-position model. The record is from RNAcentral.
GAUGAAGAACGCAGCGAAAUGCGAUAAGUAAUGUGAAUUGUAGAAUUCAGUGAAUCAUCGAAUCUUUGAACGCACAUUGCGCCCUCUGGUAUUCCGGGGGGCAUGCCUGUUCGAGCGUCAUUAUAACCACUCAAGCUCUCGCUUGGUAUUGGAGUUCGCGAUCUCGCGGCUCCUAAAAUCAGUGGCGGUGCCUGUCGGCUCUACGCGUAGUAAUACUCCUCGCGAUUGAGUCCGGUAGGUUUACUUGCCAGCAACCCCCAAUUUUUACAGGUUGACCUCGGAUCAGGUAGGGAUGCCCGCUGAACUUAAGCAUAUCAAUAAGCGGAGGA